RNAcentral lists this ribosomal RNA (588 nucleotides) under Actinomyces sp. oral taxon 175. RNAcentral describes it as "bacterial SSU rRNA". It matches the Rfam family "Bacterial small subunit ribosomal RNA", at positions 371 to 950 of the family's 1533-position model. Lineage: Bacteria; Bacillati; Actinomycetota; Actinomycetes; Actinomycetales; Actinomycetaceae. The record is from RNAcentral.
AUGGGCGCAAGCCUGAUGCAGCGACGCCGCGUGAGGGAUGGAGGCCUUCGGGUUGUAAACCUCUUUCGCCAGUGAAGCAGGCCUGUCCCUUUUGUGGGUGGGUUGACGGUAGCUGGAUAAGAAGCGCCGGCUAACUACGUGCCAGCAGCCGCGGUAAUACGUAGGGCGCGAGCGUUGUCCGGAAUUAUUGGGCGUAAAGAGCUCGUAGGCGGCUGGUCGCGUCUGUCGUGAAAUCCUCUGGCUUAACUGGGGGCUUGCGGUGGGUACGGGCCGGCUUGAGUGCGGUAGGGGAGACUGGAACUCCUGGUGUAGCGGUGGAAUGCGCAGAUAUCAGGAAGAACACCGGUGGCGAAGGCGGGUCUCUGGGCCGUUACUGACGCUGAGGAGCGAAAGCGUGGGGAGCGAACAGGAUUAGAUACCCUGGUAGUCCACGCCGUAAACGUUGGGCACUAGGUGUGGGGGGCCUUUUCCGGGUCUUCCGCGCCGUAGCUAACGCAUUAAGUGCCCCGCCUGGGGAGUACGGCCGCAAGGCUAAAACUCAAAGGAAUUGACGGGGGCCCGCACAAGCGGCGGAGCAUGCGGAUUAAU